RNAcentral lists this long non-coding RNA (1127 nucleotides) under Salmo trutta (river trout). Its description in RNAcentral is "lncRNA (ENSSTUG00000037677.1)". Lineage: Eukaryota; Metazoa; Chordata; Actinopteri; Salmoniformes; Salmonidae. The record is from RNAcentral.
AUGGCUCAAAAAACAAAACCAAAUCUUGGAUGGAUGCAGGCUAAAGGACUCAGGGCCAGCCUUUCUGUCCACUUUCCCUGUGCCUUGAAUGCUACAGUCAGGGGCUACUUCCCAAAUGGCACCCUAUUUGGGGAAUAUUGUGCCAUUUGGGACAUAGUUACAGUGUGGAGCCUGUUAAGGUCCUGGUCAGGCCUCACUCCAGUCAUUUUUCUUAUCAUCAGGUGAGGUGGUAGCAAAGACACUGUCACAAAAUGUUUUGAGUUGGCACACAUCUGAUGUGCCUCUAGAGCCCCAAGUAGAGAUGUAUGAAAGUCAACCAUGGAGCAUCAGUGUAUUCUAUCUAAGAAUAUUUUUGAGUGGUCAUUGCACAUAUCCACUUUGUGACUGCUUUGCUUUAGAUUUUAGUUCUGCCUGUGUUUUUUGAAAGGCAAGGGUCCGGAAGGAUUGCAUUAUGAACAAGCCCUUGAGCUGGAAACUGUUCACUCAAUGGUGAGGGUAAUAGACAAUCUUCUAGAUUCCAUGCUCCAGUAUAUAAUAUUGAUGACAUUAUCUUCACCAAUGGGAUACCUGAUUGAGGAUACACCCUAUUCAUAACGCUUUCAAAUGCUCUCACUGUAUCAAGCACUCUCAUGGUAGUUAAGACACUGUCACUGUUGCAGCAUCAUCUAAGCUUGUCUUCAUGCUUUGUAUGUGAAAGUGGGCUGGGGAAAACAUUUAAGAAAAUAUUGAGUUGGAGUGAUUGGUUUGUACCUCACUUCCUAGGUUUUUUGAAUCUGUAAGUCAUUAAAAUACUGAGUUUUUUUAUGUAGUUUUAGAUUAACCUGAUUUGAUAACUAAUAUAAUGACAAAAAUUGAUAUGAUUGAUUAGUUCCAUUGCAAGUUGGAGCUCAGAUAUUGUACAUUAUUUUGUGUAUUCUGAUGCAACUAGGGUGCAAAACAUACACAGCAAUGAAUGCACACAAGCAUAUUUUCUCAUUUAAACUAAGGUGAAAGAGGACUGAAAUGAUCAAUGGUGAGUGGAAAUAAAAUGCAUUUUUUGGUUUGAGGAAAAUGUAUUUUCCAUCUUUGUGUAGGCUAUAUAUUGUUGGUCGUUGGCAUCUCCAGUAAGGGUGAUUGAAACAUUUUUG